This 1092-nucleotide ribosomal RNA is filed under the name Escherichia coli. RNAcentral's name for it is "partial 23S ribosomal RNA". It matches the Rfam family "Bacterial large subunit ribosomal RNA", at positions 1292 to 2367 of the family's 2925-position model. Lineage: Bacteria; Pseudomonadati; Pseudomonadota; Gammaproteobacteria; Enterobacterales; Enterobacteriaceae. The record is from RNAcentral.
GAAUGCUGACAUAAGUAACGAUAAAGCGGGUGAAAAGCCCGCUCGCCGGAAGACCAAGGGUUCCUGUCCAACGUUAAUCGGGGCAGGGUGAGUCGACCCCUAAGGCGAGGCCGAAAGGCGUAGUCGAUGGGAAACAGGUUAAUAUUCCUGUACUUGGUGUUACUGCGAAGGGGGGACGGAGAAGGCUAUGUUGGCCGGGCGACGGUUGUCCCGGUUUAAGCGUGUAGGCUGGUUUUCCAGGCAAAUCCGGAAAACCAAGGCUGAGGCGUGAUGACGAGGCACUACGGUGCUGAAGCGACAAAUGCCCUGCUUCCAGGAAAAGCCUCUAAGCAUCAGGUAACAUCAAAUCGUACCCCAAACCGACACAGGUGGUCAGGUAGAGAAUACCAAGGCGCUUGAGAGAACUCGGGUGAAGGAACUAGGCAAAAUGGUGCCGUAACUUCGGGAGAAGGCACGCUGAUAUGUAGGUGAAGCGACUUGCUCGUGGAGCUGAAAUCAGUCGAAGAUACCAGCUGGCUGCAACUGUUUAUUAAAAACACAGCACUGUGCAAACACGAAAGUGGACGUAUACGGUGUGACGCCUGCCCGGUGCCGGAAGGUUAAUUGAUGGGGUUAGCGGUAACGCGAAGCUCUUGAUCGAAGCCCCGGUAAACGGCGGCCGUAACUAUAACGGUCCUAAGGUAGCGAAAUUCCUUGUCGGGUAAGUUCCGACCUGCACGAAUGGCGUAAUGAUGGCCAGGCUGUCUCCACCCGAGACUCAGUGAAAUUGAACUCGCUGUGAAGAUGCAGUGUACCCGCGGCAAGACGGAAAGACCCCGUGAACCUUUACUAUAGCUUGACACUGAACAUUGAGCCUUGAUGUGUAGGAUAGGUGGGAGGCUUUGAAGUGUGGACGCCAGUCUGCAUGGAGCCGACCUUGAAAUACCACCCUUUAAUGUUUGAUGUUCUAACGUUGGCCCGUAAUCCGGGUUGCGGACAGUGUCUGGUGGGUAGUUUGACUGGGGCGGUCUCCUCCUAAAGAGUAACGGAGGAGCACGAAGGUUGGCUAAUCCUGGUCGGACAUCAGGAGGUUAGUGCAAUGGCAUAAGCCAG